UAUUGCACCUGUCCCGGCCGAU
Molecule: microRNA, 22 nt
Filed under: Ciona savignyi (Pacific transparent sea squirt)
Lineage: Eukaryota; Metazoa; Chordata; Ascidiacea; Phlebobranchia; Cionidae
Description: csa-miR-92c
Gene: csa-miR-92c
Source: miRBase by way of RNAcentral